UACGAAGGGGGCUAGCGUUGCUCGGAAUCACUGGGCGUAAAGCGCACGUAGGCGGAUCUUUAAGUCAGGGGUGAAAUCCCGGAGCUCAACUCCGGAACUGCCUUUGAUACUGGGGAUCUUGAGGCUGGAAGAGGUUGGUAGAAUUCCCAGUGUAGAGGUGAAAUUCGUAGAUAUUGGGAAGAAUACCAGUGGCGAAGGCGGCCAACUGGUCCAGAUCUGACGCUGAGGUGCGAAAGCGUGGGGAGCAAACAGG
Molecule: ribosomal RNA, 253 nt
Filed under: uncultured bacterium
Lineage: Bacteria
Description: partial 16S ribosomal RNA
Rfam family: Bacterial small subunit ribosomal RNA
Source: RNAcentral